GUAGUAUUCCCUCCGUCCCAAAAUUCGUGUCUUACAUUUGUUUAGAUACGGAUGUAUCUAACACUAAAAUGUAUCCGUAUUUAGACAAAUUUAAGACAAGAAUUUUGGGACGGAGGGAGUACAAA
This is a non-coding RNA of Triticum aestivum (bread wheat), 125 nucleotides long. The record is from Rfam. NCBI's taxonomy places the organism in Eukaryota, Viridiplantae, Streptophyta, Magnoliopsida, Poales, Poaceae.